AGUGAACGCUGGCGGUAGGCCUAACACAUGCAAGUCGAACGGCAGCACAGUAAGAGCUUGCUCUUACGGGUGGCGAGUGGCGGACGGGUGAGGAAUACAUCGGAAUCUACUUUUUCGUGGGGGAUAACGUAGGGAAACUUACGCUAAUACCGCAUACGACCUACGGGUGAAAGCAGGGGAUCUUCGGACCUUGCGCGAUUGAGUGAGCCGAUGUCGGAUUAGCUAGUUGGCGGGGUAAAGGCCCACCAAGGCGACGAUCCGUAGCUGGUCUGAGAGGAUGAUCAGCCACACUGGAACUGAGACACGGUCCAGACUCCUACGGGAGGCAGCAGUGGGGAAUAUUGGACAAUGGGCGCAAGCCUGAUGCAGCCAUACCGCGUGGGUGAAGAAGGCCUUCGGGUUGUAAAGCACUUUUGUUGGGAAAGAAAAGCAGCAGGUUAAUACCCCGCUGUUUUGACGUUACCCAAAGAAUAAGCACCGGCUAACUUCGUG
This 492-nucleotide ribosomal RNA is filed under the name uncultured bacterium. RNAcentral describes it as "partial 16S ribosomal RNA". It matches the Rfam family "Bacterial small subunit ribosomal RNA", at positions 29 to 507 of the family's 1533-position model. The record is from RNAcentral.